GAGACAGUAUAUAACACACUGUUAAAAUAUGCUCAGUAGAAGAGAGGUCAUCAUUGUAGAUAAAACAGCUGGAAAAGUCAGACUCUGUAGAGGAACAUAGAAUUUUCUGAAAUGUCACUGGCACGGUAAUAGAGGACAAGUAAGUUUGAGUUUGUUUGUUUUGAGAUAGAGGUCUCACCAGGGAGCAGAGAUUGGUCUCUAACUCUCUAACUCUCUUGCCUCAGACUCCAGAGUGCUAGGAUUAUAGGACUACACCACCAUGCUCAGUUGAAGAUUUUAUUUCUUUGCUUGAUUUGGAAAAAAGAAUUUGCUUGCCUCUAGUAACUUUCUUUUCAAUUUAAAAUAAUGCCUUAAUGCCUUGAAAUGAACUGCAAUACCACCAUUCAAGGAUCCGGAUACAGUCUCAUUUAGUAUAACAUACAUGAACGCAUAAAAACAGAUAAAGUAAUAUGCUGUAGGGCUUUAAACUCUUGUAACAUUGGCUUUAUUAUUUAAGAUAAAUGAAUUAAAACAAGUUUUCUCUAACUCAAAAAAUGGCUUUGGGAAGUCAAGUGGAGAAGACUACACAGUGCUUGUGGUAGGUAAGAAAACUUCAUUGAAUAGCAAAUGAAUUAAAACAGGACACAAGGUGUGGCAUUGCUUGGCCUAGGUAUGCAUGAUAUACCCUAUCUUGACUGGAUACUUCAGCAGGCAUCAAACCAUGCCAUCAGAUUAUCAGCUAUUAUUUUUAAAUAGGAUUAAUGUAUCUGACACCUUACAAAAAAAAUCUACUUGGGCCUUGUUACCUUUCCUUUCAAUAUUUACAUUGAAAAUAUGGAUUUACAAUUUCCUACGUUAGAUGAAUCACUUCAGUCUUGUUUAUUCUUCAUAAAGAAAAAAACUUAGGCUCUGAGGCUUUCAAGACAAAAAAUUGAUUUAAAAAUGUUUGCUAUUGAUGUUUCUGGCUAAAUAAUCAAUUAAGAAUUAUUUGAUGAAUUGCACAUGAUCUGAGUAAAGAGCUUUGCAAAUUACAAAAUGCUACAAUUCACCUCCAAGGAAACCUGUAGAUACAAGCAAGCAGUUAUUUGGGGACUCUGGGAACGGCAUGGGUGAGUAGGGACUGUCUGCUGUCCUAUGGAAACACCUCAUGGGAGAAACCAAGAGUACAGCAUGGAAUAGGUCUGACCUUCCUAGAGGAACAUGGCAAGUAUAUGAAGUAAUUAGAAAUCCCAAACUGGAUGACAACAUGACAGAUUCUACUGUACUGAAAAGCAAGGCAUUACAAUGCUUGGUCAUCCUAUUAGUGACGUUCUUUCCAUUAACCCCAGGUGCUCACAUUCUUAGCUAUCAACAACACUAUGUAUUCACUGUUAUCAGUGACCUCAACUAUUCCUUUCUAGUCCCAUGCAGUCCAAGUUUUCAGUAGCCUAUUGAUCCAUCUGAAAAAUUUUUACAAAAUUCCUCUAUUACCUUAUCCCUAAGCUCUGAUCUUGUCUUCCCUGCAAUCCCUUUCUGUCCCGAUCACAUACAAUCCUCCCUGGGGACCAAGCAAAUGCUUGGUUCUUCACCUUUUGGCCAACAUUUCUACUCUGCUGAAAGGCAAGCAAUGAUUCCCUUCUACCUUGUACUGAAAAUUUAUGUAACCAGUCCGGGACUUCAGAAUCCCAUGAAUGUGCCCAUCAGUCAUGCCCAUCCUUGGCCUACCAUUGUUUCUUCUCCUCACCUGCCCCUUUCCAGUCUCCAGGCACUUCCCCUCUGUACAUUUUGGUGGCAACCUAUACAAGUCAGUUUUCACCACAUGCUAUUAUGACGAAUUCAUUCGUGUACUCCAGAAUUUAACACAGGUUAAUUUUUCUCCUUUUCAGAAGUUCAAAGCUGGGUACAACUUUGGUUCUGCACCCGAUUGAACAAUCAAACCCCACAUCAAGUCUCUUCCCCUGAAUGUAACUAGUUUUAGCCUAGAUAAUACAUUCAACCAUUGUUUGAGGACUCUUGAAAGUAAACUGUAGCACAUGGACUGAAUAAUAUCAGGAUGUGAAGUACCACCAAAACAGAUAAUAAAUUUACUCUCUUGUUCUUCCAGUGCUUCUGAGCUUGAUCUAGGAGGAAACUCAAACACAGCUAUUAGUAUACAAUGAGAGUAUGAGGAGAAGCCUUGCAGUUUGAGUUGCAUGGGGAAAUGGGGCACAGAGUAUUCCCUACAGCAGCAGCAGCAGCAGAAAACCCAUGAGAAAAGGGAACAUCUCCUUCCACUCAGACAAGCUGCGGUGCCCAACAAGGAGAGGCUGAUGGCUGUUGCUUUAUUCUAACUCUCUGUACUCUUAAUCCUUAGCUCUGCACAUGGUAGAAGGUAUAAGAAGUAGAAGCCUCUAUUUUUCAGCUGGAGGAUAAAAUGGGAAGACCCAAGAAGGGGACUGGAAAGCAUCUGGGAAUGUUUAGGAAAUGUUUAGCGUGAGGGAAAUGUUUAGCAAAGGAUCUUAUGGCAUUAUUUAUGAUGUCUUGGGUGCACCACUACCUGUGCAGAAUGGAUUGUCAACAGCACACUGAUCCUGAGAGCUGAGCUAAACGACAGACUGUCCUGAUGCUGCAGAGUGGCCAAUAGCUGGUGCUCUUUGGAACAGCAAUGCAAAGGUUCUCCACACUCCAUCAGUACUGGAACUGGAGCAACAGCUCACAUAAGCUAAUUGUAACUUAUGACUGAAAUACAACCAGGUAAACUACCUGCCAAAUACCAAAUAAGGAACAGAGCCUUUAAAUGUAUGUUUAAAUUUUCUCAGAAUAUAGUCCAUUAUUAUUCAUUAGUAAGGGAACAACCAGAAAAAUCUCAACUAGUGUGGCAA
Long non-coding RNA from Perognathus longimembris pacificus (Pacific pocket mouse), 2819 nucleotides. RefSeq lists it as uncharacterized. The transcript is spliced from 2 exons. The record is from RefSeq and is a predicted model, not a curated record. Lineage: Eukaryota; Metazoa; Chordata; Mammalia; Rodentia; Heteromyidae.